Molecule: non-coding RNA, 148 nt
Filed under: Homo sapiens (human)
Lineage: Eukaryota; Metazoa; Chordata; Mammalia; Primates; Hominidae
Source: Rfam by way of RNAcentral
GCUGGGCAUGGUGGUGGGUGCCUAUAAUCCCAGCUACUCAGGAGGCUGAGGCAGGAGAAUCGCUUGAACCCAGGAGGUGGAGGCUGCAGUGAGCCGAGAUCAUGCCACUGCACUCCAGCCUGGGUGACAGAGCGAGACUCUGUCUCAA